This 272-nucleotide long non-coding RNA is filed under the name Homo sapiens (human). RNAcentral describes it as "non-protein coding lnc-PRKACG-5:1". The record is from RNAcentral. Lineage: Eukaryota; Metazoa; Chordata; Mammalia; Primates; Hominidae.
UGGCAUGAUCACAGCUCACUGAAACCUGGAACUCCUGGAUUCAAGCAAUCCUCCCAUCUUAGCCUCCCAAGUAGCUGGGACUACAGGCACGUGCCACCAUGCUCAGAUGUGUUUUUUGUUGUUGUUGCUGUUGUUGUUGUAGAAAUGAGGUCUUGCUAAGCUGCCCAGGUUGGUCUCGAACUCCUGGGCUCAAGAGAUCUUCCUGCCUCACCUCCCACAGUGCUGGGAUUAGAGGCAUGAGCCAUCACUCGCAGCCAGGUUCCAACUUUUUC